AGUCGAGCGGUAGCACAAGAGAGCUUGCUCUCUGGGUGACGAGCGGCGGACGGGUGAGUAAUGUCUGGGAAACUGCCUGAUGGAGGGGGAUAACUACUGGAAACGGUAGCUAAUACCGCAUGACGUCUUCGGGCCAAAGUGGGGGACCUUCGGGCCUCACGCCAUCAGAUGUGCCCAGAUGGGAUUAGCUAGUAGGUGGGGUAAUGGCUCACCUAGGCGACGAUCUCUAGCUGGUCUGAGAGGAUGACCAGCCACACUGGAACUGAGACACGGUCCAGACUCCUACGGGAGGCAGCAGUGGGGAAUAUUGCACAAUGGGCGCAAGCCUGAUGCAGCCAUGCCGCGUGUAUGAAGAAGGCCUUCGGGUUGUAAAGUACUUUCAGCGAGGAGGAAGGCAUUAAGGUUAAUAACCUUGGUGAUUGACGUUACUCGCAGAAGAAGCACCGGCUAACUCCGUGCCAGCAGCCGCGGUAAUACGGAGGGUGCAAGCGUUAAUCGGAAUUACUGGGCGUAAAGCGCACGCAGGCGGUUGAUUAAGUCAGAUGUGAAAUCCCCGAGCUUAACUUGGGAACUGCAUUUGAAACUGGUCAGCUAGAGUCUUGUAGAGGGGGGGUAGAAUUCCAGGUGUAGCGGUGAAAUGCGUAGAGAUCUGGAGGAAUACCGGGUGGCGACGCGGCCCCCUGGACAAAGACUGACGCUCAGUGCGAAAGCGUGGGGAGCAAACAGGACUAGAUACCCUGGUAGUCACGCUGUAACGAUGUCGACU
This 766-nucleotide ribosomal RNA is filed under the name uncultured bacterium. RNAcentral's name for it is "bacterial SSU rRNA". It matches the Rfam family "Bacterial small subunit ribosomal RNA", at positions 60 to 817 of the family's 1533-position model. The record is from RNAcentral.